UAAUGUAUGGGGAUCUGCCCGAUAGAGGGGGAUAACUACUGGAAACGGUGGCUAAUACCGCAUAAUGUCUACGGACCAAAGCAGGGGCUCUUCGGACCUUGCACUAUCGGAUGAACCCAUAUGGGAUUAGCUAGUAGGUGGGGUAAAGGCUCACCUAGGCGACGAUCUCUAGCUGGUCUGAGAGGAUGAUCAGCCACACUGGGACUGAGACGCGGCCCAG
RNAcentral lists this ribosomal RNA (220 nucleotides) under uncultured bacterium. RNAcentral's name for it is "partial 16S ribosomal RNA". It matches the Rfam family "Bacterial small subunit ribosomal RNA", at positions 111 to 334 of the family's 1533-position model. The record is from RNAcentral.